Vitis vinifera (wine grape) is the source of this 1666-nucleotide RNA transcript. RefSeq lists it as uncharacterized. The transcript is spliced from 7 exons. The record is from RefSeq and is a predicted model, not a curated record. Lineage: Eukaryota; Viridiplantae; Streptophyta; Magnoliopsida; Vitales; Vitaceae.
AACAACUUAUAUCACGAAAUAGGUUAAAUAAAUGGAAAAAAUGGCUUACUAUUUAAGUUAAAAAUUGGAAGAGAGAAGGAGAUAGCAGGAGAGGCAGCGAGAGAGCGCCCCUCUAGAGUCCACAUUUGGAGUACAUGACGAUGGAGAUUUUGCCCUUUUCGCUUCUGCAAAUGUCACAUCGAAGAAGAAGAGUACAAAUAGUGUCUCCAGAAGAUGAGUUGGACAAUCUACAACAACUCUUAGACAUACAACCUACUGCAACUACUACUCCUAGUAGUUCUGAUUCUUCUGAUUCUUCAGAUCCUUCUAUUGUUGGUUCAUUCUCUAGCAAAAAGAGGACACGUGGCCCAACACAUAACUUAGAUUUACUUAGUAUGAAAUCUGGGGAAAAAAUAACUACACGAUUAAAUACUAGAGGGCAAGUUGUUUAUGAUGGAAAAUGGGAAAGGUUGUCAAGCUAUAUGGGAACAAUGGUGCGAUCUCAACACAAUGUAUCCAAGUUCAAGAUUGGAAUCAUGUUAGUGAAGAUGUGAAGGAAAAGAUUUGGGCCUUAGUAUUGGAAAAAUAUGAACUAGAAGAAACAUGUAAGAGCUACAUUCUGCAAUGUUGUAGAAAUUUGUUUAGAAGCUAUAGAAAUAAAAUGAAGGCCAAGUAUUAUAACCCUUAUAACACAGAUGAGGAGAGAUUGUGCCAUCGACCUCCACACUUAUCGGAUGAUGAUUGGAGGUGGCUCAUCCACUUUUGGGGUACACUUGAGGCCAAGGAUAUCUCAGAAAAAAAAACAAGGCAAAUAGGGCAAAGCAAGUGAUAAAGCAUAUAUCGGGAUCAAAAAGUUAUGCUCAAAUUCGAUAUGAACAGGCACAAAAGAAGGAGGAUCGAAGUGACCCCAAUAGAAUUGAGAUGUUUGCCCUAACACACACAAGAAAAUAUGGGAUGCUUGUUGAUGAUCAUUUUAAGGAGAUUAUGGAUCAAUUUCAGCAAUUACUAUCCCAACUUGAGGGGACAUCUUCUUCUACUUCUGCAUCAUCUGGAGCAUCUACAUCUGUAUCAUCUACAUUUGUAUCAUCUACAUCUAUAGCAUCUACAUUUGUAGCAUCUACAUAUGUAGAUGAGAUAUAUACUCAAGUCAUGGGUCCAGAGAGGCAUGGUCGUGUUCAAGGGUAUGGAUUUGGUCCUACUCCUACCUCAGUCUUUGGUUCUACUAGUAGAUGGCGAUCAAGAGUUAUUCUUUCAACACAACUUGAAAACGCCCAAGAGAUGCUAAUAGCUGCAAAACAAAAGUUUACAACUGCAACUGAAGAACUCUCAAAUGUGAAAGAAACAUUUGAAGAGAAGUUGAUAGAAGUUCAAAGGAAGACACGAGAAGAAGUGAAAAAAGAGUUUGAAGAAAAAAUGAUGGAAAUGCAAAGAAAAAUGCAAUCACAAAUGCAAGCACAAAUUCAAGAAUAGAUGAUGCAAAUGAUGCAACAAUUUCAGCAAAAGCAGUAGAAAUUUGAAUAUUUUGCUACAUCUUUAUAUGAUAGAUUCUCUUAACUUUUUUGAAGAUUAUGCUACUUAUUUAUAUGAUAGAUUCUCCUAACUUUUUUUGCUUUCUAUGACUAUUAUGUGAUGUUUGGUUGGUUGAUUUGUUAUAUUAUGUUAGAAUGUGAAACUAAAUUUGAAUCUC